ACUGGAACAGAAUGGAAUUUGAAACGUUUUAGCCAAAAAUGUUUCCAUGGUAAAGGUGUUUUUUGCAGAAACGUUUCAGAUUUCGUUCUGUUCU
Molecule: microRNA precursor, 94 nt
Organism: Carassius auratus (goldfish)
Lineage: Eukaryota; Metazoa; Chordata; Actinopteri; Cypriniformes; Cyprinidae
Source: Ensembl